AACUAAAAUACUCUGUCAAGUGACUCUCAGGGUCUCACCCUCCUUUAGCUGGAACUGAAUGCCAUCUCAUGCUCCCAGACUCCAGCCACUCAGGGUGUGGGUGAUGACCCGCCCUGCACUGGGUUCUCAGGGUCACGGAUGGUCUCUGUCAUGGAAAGGUUUUUCUGGGCGGAGAAAAGGGUUGGGAUCUGAAAGAUGGGGUCCUCUGCCUGGCAGCAGGAAGGUGGACAAAGGCUGGUGCCCAGGCCUGCGUGGGCUGCGGUGCCAACCAGCCAUUAUCCCGGGGAUGGGGAUGGCGCCUGUCCCCACACCCAGGAGCGGGAUUGGCCCUUUCCUUCCUCCACCUCACGCCCACUUCUCUCUGCCCAUUCCCCUCCCACUAGAGCUGCGAGGCGCCCCAGGUUCAGCUGCCGCUCACCCCAAAAUCUUGUAAACAAUGGGAAGAAAGAAGAGGAGAAUGGAGUGGUUCAGGGAAGACAGCCAUGGAGAGGGAUGGGGGCCGAGUCCUGCCCUGUGCUCAGCCUGGCCUCUGUGAGAUGUUGCCAGGAGCAGAAACUCCUUAGGCAGCAGAGCAGCCAGACUUCUUACAGCCUCCCCAGGGGGACGUGGUGGGUGGAGAGGGCCUCUUGGAUCAGCUCAGAUUGGGAACUUUCCUUGGUAUUCCUUAAGCAUAAAAGGCUGCCUGCCAAGGUGCAAGGCAGAAGACGCAUCGCCUGCCUCACACAGCAGAGUUUUCCAUACUAGGGGUCACAGACCAUUAGUGGGUUGUGAAAUCAAUUUAGUGGUUUACAGGCAGCACUUUGAAACAAGAGCCCCAGUGUAUUGCUUACAGAAAGUGAGUUUUUCUUUUUUUCAAUUGUAUGUACAUGUAUCCAUACCUAUACUUACAUUAUAUCUAAAUAUCUGUACUGGCUGGUGAUGAAAAGUUUACUAGAUUUAUUUCUUGCCGUGGCUUUAGGGUCCCCCAAAAUUGAAAAACAUUGGCCUAGACUAGGACACCAGUGCUGGGCCCAGCUGGCCCUGGACGAGCCCAAAAAGACCAAACCCGCAGCUCAGGGCGUAUUUUGGCCUCGUGGAGCUGACAGCCCGGGAUAGGUGACUAUGUCAUUGGGCCCCGUCUCUCCUUGGUAGGAUGACAUUCGGGGGCCCCUGGAUGGGAAGGACUGUGACAGGAAAGCACCUUAGGGGACUCUGGAUGUAUCUCUAGCUGUCUAAAUGCUGCGGCUCUUCAUCAUGCAUGCGGCUAUUCAUGUUAGCUUCUGAGAUGCACAGACUGGAAAAAGAAAGCCAAGCAGAACCUGAAAGAACUGGUCAAUGGUGAGGCGGGAUGGGAAAACAGGGAUUUGUCAGGAAGUCAGCAGCAUUCUCGGCCAUGUUACUAUUUGAGCUUAGAGGAUGGGCAGGGACAAGCGCUCAUCUUUGCCAAAAGCACGAAAUCCAAGAUCAGCUGGAAGAGUCGGAGGUGCCAGAGAUGGGGACCCUCUUCCCGGCAGAUCAGACUCACAGGGCCCACUGGGAGACCAUUAGAGAAAGCACAAGGGUCUGGAGAGGGGGCCGGCCCUGCCAGAUUCCUCAGUCAAAGCAGGCACUUCUGCUGGCUGCCGGUUGCAUUCGAGAAAGAGGAAAGAGGGCAAGACUUUGAUCCUUCACUGCAGGAAUGCUUCUCAAAUUACUGAGGAUCAGAGAAUGGCGUCCAGAAUGCUAAGAGAGAGGAGAAAGAAUAUGAAUGUGUGUGUGUGUACACAUGAUGCUCCUGUGUGGCUUCUAGCGGUGACAGUGUUUGGCUGGGAAGAUGCGCUGUGUGGGGCAUCCCCGAAUCAGGGUGGUAGGAGAGCUACCCAGAGAGAUGGCACAUUUUACCAAGGAAAAAAUUGUAUGUAUUUAUUAGCACACUGCCUUGAAUAUAUACUACAUACUUCAUUAGAGUGAUUUCACAGAGAUUUCAGAAUUAUUUGUGCUUGUUAAUUGCUGUGGAAACCAGGAAGAGAGUAGUUCAAAGGGGUUGGUCCUCCAGGUGUGGAUAGCGGGUAGAAAUAACUGAAAUUGGGAUUCUAGCAUGGAAGCCCCUGCUUUCGAAACUUAAAGUAUGCAUUCUUCUUUGCUGCUUUCAAAACCCCCUUCAUUUCCCUGCUGACAGAGAACUUUCCCUCAUGUCCCUCCCUCCUCCCUUGUUCCGGCUUCUCAGUGCUACCCAUCUCCCCGGCCUUCAAUACACCAUGAAGAGGGUAGAAAAAUUAACUUGACCCAGAGAAGGGAUGGCUUCCGGGGUCAGUCUAGUCUGGGCUACUUCCCAGGCCUGGGCCUCAGGCGAUUGGAACUUGCAUUUACUUCCGGUUGGUAAUACCAAGAAUGGGUCUAAUGUGACUUGGAUCCAUUGCUGAGCUCAUGUAAGAUAGCAAAGGCCACCAGUGAGUGAGGUGUUUACUUCGUUAUUGUCAUUUCCAUCACCCCUGAGGACACCCUGAAGCAGCAGUGACAGGUGGCCAUUUCUCACAACCAGCACUUGUGAGCCCCCGUGUCGGCUGGCACUGUGCCUGGGUGGGGGAGGGCUGAAGCCACCACCUCUGCCUUUGAGAAGGCUCUGAUCUCGUCGGGGAAAGCAUGGAGACGUGGACUAGAGGACAAUGACAGCUAGGACGAGGCCAAGAAUGCCACUGUGUGAAACCUAAUGUCACCGCUAUUGGCACUUUAAAAUGGGGUGCAUUUUGAAGAUUAAAUUUCUGUGUUGACGGGGAAAACUUUUUGAGACCCUGGGGAACAUCCUUCCAGAUGCUUUAACAACUUUCACAGUGUGGACUUGAGUCAAUGAAACUAUUCCUUACGGGCAAAGAUUCCCGAGAAGACUAGUACUUGCCAGAAACCAGCUGGGCAACAGUGGCACUUUUUAAACUAAAUUAAAAAAAAAUUGAGACAAUCGUGCUUGCCAUCUUUCCCUCUGAUACUCGGUGGUAACUAUGGAAGGACUCAACCAGUGGUUUGGGUCUGUGGUUCCCAAAUUCUGUUCCGGGGUGCCCCAGGGCACUGUGACGGACUCACAAGAGUGCCACGGAAUAUUGAAAGAUUUUCAAAGCGAACACAGUGACAUCUGCCAGGCACCACGCUAUUAAGUUGUUUUGACCUAACUGCCUAUUAAUGGAACUAUCAGGCAUUUCUUUCAGCCCAGGAGUACUGCAAAGCAGUCUUGGGACUCUCAGGGCACUUUGAGCUGAGAAUGUUCGGCAACUCUUUACGGAUUUAGUGUGGUGUCACCGCCUACCCAAUCUGAUGGACACCAGGCAAUAUGCCCGCUCACAGACGUGCCUUCUGCGUAUCCCCUCCUCAGGCUUGUCAUUGGCCAGUUCCUUUGAACUUGCCAUUGCCAAUCUCUUUCUGUAAAAUAGUUGAAUGUUUGGCGUGAGCUUGAUCUUGAUUCACAGCACCCACCUAUAGUUUGGCCCCAGAGGCAGCCAAAACUCACGCCUUUUGGGCUAAGAACGAUCCAGUGAGUCAGUGGCUGUGGUAGAGGCUGUGAGUUUUCAUCCUUGGGGCUGGCCCUCAAACGAUGCACAAAGGUUGCCUUUAGGCCGUCUGAUAAUGGCACCCGCCAACUUCUCCUCCUGGACCGUAUCACAUUCUUCCCUGAAGGUGCCAGCUGGAUCUCUGCUGACCCCCUUCCUCUCUCCCAUCGCCUUCCCCUGCAGGCCCUGAAGAAGCCUCUCCCCCUCUGUGCUCCCCUGUGGAUUCUGCUGUCCCCGGGGCUUCACUCAACGGUUGCCUUCAACUGCCAUCGGAAUUUUCUCUCUCUAAAAUUCUCGGAGGUUGGUGCUCUGGCCCUGCUGCCGGGAGGGCUAUCAGGCCUCAAGGAUGUGGUCCAGACCUUUGUGUGGGGACACAGCAGCUGGCACACUGGGGAUGCUCAGUGAACGUGUGAUGAAUCAACUUAGUAACUGAAUUCUCAGCACGGGUUCUGGGCCAGCCACACCUGCCUGUGAGACACUCUUGUCACUGCCUGACUGUUUUCCAGGGGCUCUCCCUGCCUUAGUUGAAGAGAAACUUGGUAUGGGAGCCUUGGCAGGCCCAGCAGAGGAGGUUUGUGGCUGGAGGACUUUGGCCCCCUCCUAUGGCCUCUCUCCUGUCCCACUGAGUUGUGCCUAUUCAUUGCCAAGGUUCUUGUGUCUUUUUGGGCAGGUGGCUGGGUGCGCACAACCCACAGAGAUGGGGCAGGGCUAUAUGGGGAUUUAUGUGCAGAAUUUAAUAACCUUUUGCCCUUCUCCUGGGCACCGGGAGAGAAGACUGGAUGUCUCUGAGGUAGAGGUGUCCACACCCCUUCCCUACCCGGGGGCCCUGCCUCCCAAGGCUUGGUGCUUCCUUGUUCCUAUGACUCCGAGACCGUCAGAGGCUGGAGAGGGGUGCACUGGGAGGGGGCUGGAGAAGAGGCCUCCCCUGCCUUUGACACCUGGACUGCUCAGUGCUGCCAUCCACUCUGUGUCAGCAUCGAGAGGGUGUUUUAGAGAUGGAAAAAGGCCCUGAUCUUUUCCAUUUUUUGAGUACCUUGAAUAUUAAAAAAAAAAAGAAAAAUGCCAAAAAUGGGUACAAAAAAUUGUAGGUUGUACAGUCUAUUUAAUUGCUGAAUAAAUGAAUGCUUUUUAACACAUAAAAGUAUAAUUAGGCUGGAUAGACCCUCCUUUGGAGGGAAGGCCUGUGGUUUGAGGCCCUUUGUGAAUGAGGUUCAGGACACGUGGCCCUCCUGGUGCUCUGCUCCUCUUCAUCCCCCACGUUAGGUCCAGGCAUCAUUGGGGGCUCUCCUGCCAGUGGGCUCAGGAUCCCACUUUCCUGGUGGACCCAGGCUCUCAGACCAACUCUGUGUCCCUGGGCAGGGGAGUAGAGCCCUCAGGCUGGCCUGGCUCGGCCUGUCACUGGCAGGGUCUCUUUGCUGGUUGGGAUCAACAGGAGGCCAAGGGAACACUCCAGGCAGUGCCUGGGUCACGGCGCCCUCCUCCUAGGUGGGGCCCAUCACUGGGGUCUCCAGGGCCUUGGUUACACACGGGCAAAGGAACCCCUAUAGCUCCCACUCAGGCCUUCUGUGCUUUCAGACCUAAGCAACAGCUCCACCACCGGGGGCGAACUUUCUGCUGGUUUCUUUGUGAUGGUAGCAGCUGUUGGCUCACUCCUCACGUGCCUAUGUUGGCUGGGCAUUGUGAUAAGAGCUGAGAAUGUGGUGAGGGUUAUUCCCAGUGGCUGUCCUAGAGGGGUUGACCAUUGACAUGGGAGAAAAGCACAAGAGCAUUGGUCACGUCCAUGUAACCGAGGGAGCGCUCUGCUCUGGUGGUGACAGAAUCCCAGAAGAGGGCUGCCCACAGGGGCCUAAGUUCCUGUGGGCUUCUGGAGCAGAGGGAGCCUGAGCUGAAUCCCAUGAAGAUAGGACUUAGCCAGGCCGGGAGUGGGUGGUGAGAGAAUUUAAGCGAUGGGGGCACCAGUGUGGGCAAAGGCACAAAGGUUAACAGGGCGAGGGGGAGAAAGGGGGGAACUGAGUAUCGAGGAAACAAGUGGGAGGUGGGUGUGGAGAGGGAUGGGGAGGCAGAGACAGUGAGCAGCAGGGCAGCACAAGGGUCAGACGGACGUUUGGAUGGAACUCUUUGGCUGCAGUCUGUGGGGGACAGAUCCAAGUGAGGUUAAGAGUAGGGCAAGAGUGCGGGCGGCUGCAAUGGACCGGGCAGGAGAUAGACGCUGAGCGUGGAGGACGGGAGGUGGGCUCGAGCGGAGGGAAUGAGUGAUUGCACGUGUAGGGGUGGCCCUGGGUACAUGCCACCAAAUAAGAAAGGAACAGAGUUGCAAGGUGGGGGUGACCAUGGCGAUGUCUCUGUGGCCUCAGGGGAAAUGGAAAGGAAGGUGUCCAUGGCUCCUGACUGGGCUAGGCUGUUGGACAUCAGCAUUCACGAGGCUUCUGUGAUCAGAGCUGAUGGGAGAUGCAGCCCAGGGAGGGUGGGGGGAGCGGUGGGCGAGGAGGGAUCCCUGGAGACAAAUGUGUAAGGGACAGGACCGAGGAGCCAGAUGAGGCAGAGAGAGCCAGGCAGGGGAGAGAGGAGAGUUUGGCAGAGAACCCAGAGAGUGAGGUGGGAGGGCUGUCCCCCACCAGCCUGUGAAGGAACUCCUGGAGGGCAGUGAUGUCCCCUAUGGUACCCAACAUGUCUGACAUACAGUAGGUACGAAAUUAAUGUUAUUAAAUCAUUGAGCACAAAUGCGGCACAGAGGCCAGUAAAAGGAGGGCUGAAAACGUCCAGUGGAUUUGGCAAUAAGGGUGGGGCAUUCCCCCAGGGAAAGGUAGGAGCGGGACCUAGAUUUCAGCGGAGCGAGGGAGGGAGCAGGCUGCUUUCUGGGUGGGGUUGGGUAGGGUAGGGAGGUGAGGAAAGAGAAGACAGAAAGUCCCUUUAUUCUGUUUAGAAGUUUGACCAAGACAGGAAGGAGAGAAAGUGCCAGACUCAUGAUUGGAGCAUUUUUAAAAAAUUAAAAAUAUCUUUUACUGCUCCAUCCCACCCACAUUAAGGAAAAAAUCCCACAUGCCUUAUAGAAAAGCUAGGAGAUACGUCUAAGGAAGAAGAAAAUAAAAAUAACCCGUAAUUCUACCCAUUGGAAAUAUAUACUGUUAAACCUGGAGUAACUUCCUUCCAGACUUUUGUUUUUGUUUUUUAGUAGAAAUAGUAUCACGCAGUACAUUCUUACUUUGCAAAGUAUCUUUUUCACUUAAUAUUUCUUGAAUACCUUUUUCUGUCCAAGCUACUAUUCUUCCAAAACAUCCUUUAAAGUUUUACCUACCUGUCUACCUGAUAGCUAAGAUUCAGAGGAUUCAAAAUGCAACAGGUACACACGAGCAUUCUGUGAAAAGUUGCCUGUCUCUGACCCACCCAGUUCUUGUCCCUGAAGCCAACUGGUAUUACAACACCCACUUGGGUGGUUAGAUAAUAUUCCCAUGCGUGACUGUUCCGAAAUUUAUUUAAAUAACUUCCCUGUCUUGGAUAUUUCGAUGCUAUUUAGUUUUAUUUUUCUAUUGUACAUGAGGCCAAGAUGAAUAUCCUUCUAGCAGAAUAUUUGUAUACAUACCUUAUUUUCUUAGAAUAAGUUUCUAAAAGUGGAAUUUCUGGGUCAGAAGGCAGAACAAAUUCAAAGUAAAAAUUGCCAUUCCAGAUUUUACCUUCAAGGAAAUUAACGUCAACUGACACUCCCACAGCAAAGCGUGAGAGUGUUUCCAGCCCCAACAGGCCCUCAGCUUGUGUUAUUAAAACUCAUUUCCUCCAACUGUGCCAACCUAGUGGGUGAAAGAUGGGGGUGAGCACCUCUAACCCUUGCUGUGAGUUGUAUUUUAAGAGAAACAAAUGGCACUUUGGGGGACAAAUGGGGAUUGGAUGUGGAGAGGGCAGCUCUGAGACUGGGAAGGACAAUAUCCAGCUGUGGGGCGAGGUGGCUGCAUUGUCAGUGAGGACCAAGCCUGGGGACAAGGCCCUUCUUCAUUUUCAGAGUAACCGCCAGCCGUGAGAAACGUAGGGGCCUCGAAAGAACCAGAACCUGUAGGCGAGGUCCAGGGAUAAUUGGUACCCAGGCACAGGCGUAGCGGUGAGAGUCUGGGUCCUUGUGCCCUCAGCUGUAGGGCUGCCUGACUCCUGAUUGGGGAAGGGAGGCUGAGCUCUGCUUGCAACACGUGCCAGCUGAGAGGGGAGACAGGAACACCGUGGAAAUCUGUUGCCCCCUCAGUCAUAAAUCCCAGGUCUUGCAAAGUGGGAGGGUAAACCUGGAUGUCGGGACGGGCAGGCUAUUCCCUCCACAUUCACCCUCCCUUUGGGACUCUCAAAAGUUCUUGCUCUCACCAUGCAGCCCUCAAGGGGAGCUGCUUUUCUUUGGCUUUUUUGCACACUGCGGACUCUAUAGACGAUUCUCUAGACUUUUUAGAGAUUUUUCCCUAAGAAAAACAAAAAAGAGAAACAAACAAGACAGUUUGAUUUACAGUAUGUAUUUACUCAUUUUUGGGCUAGGAUUGCCCGAGGUCACCCUGCAUUGCUUCCAGUCUGACUCCAAGAUUGGGAGGCCAGAUUUAACCCCUACCCCCAGGAGCACCUUCCGGGACUAGAAGCUUCCUAGAAAUUCACAUCCUAGAGAGCUGGCCCAAGAGUGAAAUGAGAGUCCCCACUCACCAUGAAUUUGGAGUUGGAUCUGCUAUAGCUCGGUUCUUCCUCAGUUAUGACUUCUUACUGGUUAUUCUUUUCAAAUAUUGUUUCUCUCCAAGGCCUUGUUUUGGUCUCAGGGGUCAUUUGCAGAGCCUGAAUUCCAGCUAGAUUCUUUAUUGGUCUCUGUUAGUUUCCUGGGGCUGUUGUUACAAAGGACCACGAGCUGCGUGGCUUAAAACAACAGAAACUUAUUGUCUCACAGUUCUAGAGAUCAGAAGUCUGAAAUCGAGGUGUCAGCAGGGUCGAUUCCUCCUGGAGGCUCGGAGGGAGUAUCCCUUCCCUGCCUCUCUCCUCGCUUCUGGUGGUUGCUGGCCAUCCUUUGUCUUCUUUGGCUUGGAGAAGCAUCACUCCACCCUCUGUCUCCACCUACACAUGGUGUUCUCCUCUCUGUACGCAUCUUUGUGUGUCCUCUCCUCUUCUUUUAAGGACACCAGGCAUUAGAUUUAGAGCCCACCCUAAGCCAGUAUGACCUCAUCUUAACUAAUUACAUGUGCAAAGGCUCUAUUUCCAAAUAAGGUCACGUUCUGAGAUUCUGGCUGGACAUGAAUUUUUGAGGGUCACCAUUAAACCCACUACAGUGUUUCUGCCUUCAGACACUUUCACCCACCAAUCCAAUCCUAUGUACCCUGUUGGAGCCAUUUUUCUCAAAGAAUGCUUAGCAGAAGUACCUCACCUUGCCUCAAAAUCCUUCAAUGACUUCCCACUGCCAACAGAAUAAAGUCCUAUCUCUUUAGCUCAGCUUUAGAAGGCUCCCCAUAGUCUGGUCCGAACAAUUUUUUCACAUUCCAUUUCUCUACUCUUCUACACACACCCUCCAAUCACAUUUGAAAGAUCUUCGACAUUGUUGAACGUGUUGUAAGCACUCUCAUCUCCUGCCCCAUCUCUGUUUCUUGACUAGAUGCCCUCCUUCUCAAACACCCGUGUCGUAUCAUACCUUUCCUCUCUCAUGAGAACAUUUCCAGCCAGCCAAGGUCGAAGGCUGCUCUUUGCUCACAGACCAACUUGACUCCACACUCUUCACCACUCCUCAGUCUGGAGGGAUGCUAUUCUCUGCUGGAGUCAAACUUUUACCCAAGAAUGAGCCUGUGUCUUAAACUUCUUUGGGUCCUUGGAUAUGAAAGUGGUGUAUUGAAUCAUGUGGCUUCAUGGUAAAUGAUUGUGGCUGCUGCUGCUGGUGUGAGUAUAUGAGGGGGUUGAUUUGGACCUGAAGUGAUGAGGACUAUCAUUUUUCAUUGCAUUAACGGAAUCACUCCAUGCCUAGAGCCCCACGAUGUCUACAGCAAAUGAAGAGCCCUGUGCUGAGAUGAAAUGAGGGCAAAGGAGAGAAUGCUUGCUGCUUUGAGAAUCAGGGGCAGCGAUCUUUCAAAGGAAGAGUGAAUGGGCAGAAUUGCUGCAGGAGAAGCGAAUCCUCCAGACCAGAUGCUGAGGGGCAGUGGGCUCAGUGGGAAAAUUGUAACCAUAUCCGAGGGGAAGCCCUGCCCCCAUCCUCCUGGAAGGACAAUUGGCGUGAGCAACAUGGCUGGCAGGGGUACGGCAGGGGAGGGAGGUAAAUGAGGGGACAUAUAGUGCAAUGAACGGAUUAGAUAUCAACACCUUGCACUAUCAGCUUUAAUAGAUGCUCUGAAAACUUGGAAGUAACAAGGACAUUUUUAUUCCAAAGAUUGUCAUUAGUGUCUUUUGCUAGCCCCUCCUAAGUGGCAGUGGUUGACCAUUGGCAACUGACUCUUCAAACUCUUCUCCAAAGCAGUGCAAGGAACUUAGUUCAUCUGGAUGCAGGUUUAUUCCAAACUUUCUUGCCUUGUGUGCUCUGUCCUUCCCCUCUGAUUAUGCUUCAGCCACAUCAAAGCCCCAUAGGCAUUGCCCUGGGGGAUCAAGAAGCGGUCCACCCAACAAAGAAGAGUAGAGGUACGAAGAAUCAGGGUGAGAAUUCUGGGCAGAUGCUCAAGGUGUGGGCUCCAGGCUGAGCCCAUGGACAUGUGACAUAAUACAUUUCAGAUAUGCCAGGACAAGUUUCCAGUGUCAAAAUCUUUGAAGCCAUCAGGUCUCUUUCUUGCUGAGUCUUGGUAAUAUUCCUUGUGUCAUAGAUUUAGAAAGUCAAGCUAAAGAAACACCUGAGGAAGAAUGCCUAUUUCUGGACUGUUUACGGACAGUUUGCAAUGGUGGCUCUGAUCCUUGCUCAAUUGACUCAUAGCUCUACAUGCACGGUCUUGCCUGGCUAGAUUCAUAAAAUAUUAUAGAAACAGGCCACCCUUAACUCCAUUAAAAACUUAUAGUUUCUUAGACAUUCCAUCUAAAUGGUUUGCCAGUUUUCCUCUUCAUAAAUUGCCAAUUUGGGUAUUUCAGCAGUCAAUAUUCAACACAAAAGGAAGAAUUUAGUCAAAUUUCUUUUGUCAGUAAGUCUUCUGUGUGACGUAUUUGUUUCCAGGUCCUAAUGACAAUUCUGCUCAGGUUCAAACAAAACAAAACCCCAAAACCAAGCAUACGAAAAGGAAUGAUUCAAGUUUGAGUUAGUCCUAUCCAUCCACAUAAAGACUAUACAUGAGUGUGACACGUUUUGAGAAUAAGGAAGGGGAGAGGAGACAUGAGGAAAUGGAUGCCUUGUUCAUGAUCCUGCGCUUAAGCAGUGAUUUUUCUCUACCACUCUGUGUUACUAGAAUUUUCCAACCACCUCUGACAAAAGGAGAGUACAAAGAACACUUGACACAAAGUAAAACGUGAAAAGAUCUUUCAGUGGUUCAGCGUCCUGGCUAUGAUUCAGAAUUAUCCAUUAGAUUAAAAAAAAUAUGCAUGUCCAGGUAUGCUCCAUAGCUCAGUCUGGCGCCAUUGUCCAAUAUCAGAAGGUUAGAGAAGAUGUGGUCAAUUAAUAUAACUCUUCUUGCCAUUUGCUGUCUCCAUUGAGGGACUCUGGGUUGGUCCAACUCUAGUCUAACUUCUGAAACAUCAAGGAUUCUAGGUAGUUGCUUCUGUGUUUCUUUUUCCAACUAGACAGUGAAUUCCUUGAGGGAAAGGAUGAUGUCCAUUUGGCUUUGCAUCUGCAAGGAAGCAGCUCAGUAGCACAUAAGAACACUCUGGUACAUUCUUUUCGAAUGACAGUGGUUUAAAAACAGCAAGGUCCUGUGUAAAGGUAGGAUGUUAUGCUCCUGAUUUCCUUCAGAGUAUAUAAAUAUUUGAUAUGAGGUUGCACCAGGAUUGGGAUUCUGACUCAUAGCAGUGCUGGUACCCAGGGAUCCAUAACUUAGAGACAGAAGAGAUGGAGCUCUGGUGGAAAGGGUGGAGCCAAUGGGAAAUUGUGGUGUGGGUGUUAGGGAUGGAGGGUGAAUUAGUUUCCUACUGCUGCUGUAAUAAGUUACGACAAGAUGAGGGGGUGAAAACAACACAAAUUGUCUUAAUGUUCUGCAGGUGAGAAGUUCAAAGUGGGUCCCACUGGGCUAAAAUCCAGACAUUGGCAAGACUGUGUUCCUUCAGGAGGCUUUAGGGGAGAACAGUCGUCUUGCCUUUUCCCAUUUCUAGUGGCCAUCUGCAUCCUUUGGCUCAUCGUCCCUUCCUCCAUCUUCAAAGCAGCAUCUUCAAAUCUCUGCCUCUGACACUGACCCUCCUGCCUCCCUCUUUCACUUAUAAGGACCCUUAAGAUUACACUGGGCUCACUCGGAUAAUCCAGGAUAAACUCCCCAUCUCAAGGUUACCUGAUUGGUUGCCUAAUUCCAUCUGCAACCUUAAUUCCCCCUUGCCAGGUAACAUAACAUAUUCACAGGUUCUGGGGAGCAGGAAAUGGACAUCUUUGGGUGUGGGGGGAGAAGUAUUCUUCUACCACAGAAGGACACUUGGACAUUAUGGAGUCCAGUGUCCUCAUUCUACACGUGAGGAAACUCAGGUUCACAGGGUUUCUGUGAAUUCCAACUGUUUCCUCCACAGGAGAGUAAAUUCCUUCUGAGACCAUCUGUACGUAGAACCCUAAGCAAGAUUCAGCAGGAGGCUGCUGGCUUCCUCUUUCUGCAGUUCUUCCUUCUACACCUGUGCCUCGUGGCUUUCCCGCCCCAUUCAGGGAGGGAUGCCGAAGGGUGUGUUGGGGGGCACAUCUCACCCACAUUCAGACUGAACGGAGAGUAGCCAUUGUAUGGAGUCAGAGAAUGGAUUGGAUCCAUCUCCAAGGACCUUAUUGUUUUGGCAGAAGCACAAACUCUUAGAAAUGCUGCAAGUGCCCAGUUAGGGACACUGAGCUCAGUGACGAGGGGACCCAAGAGUCUGAAAUCCUGGAAUUUCUCCCCAAGGAGGUCCAUGAAGGGGAACUACAGGGUGAGCACCAGCUGGUUGGUUCACAACCGACAGUGACGCUUGCUGCCUGGGCAGCUGCUGUGGGUUUCUCAGUCUGAGACCCUGUCGGACCAGGGCUGGCUCCUGGCAAAAGAGGGUUUCAGCUGCUGGGUUUCCUUUGAGGAGAUGCUGGUGAUUCUGGUCUCAGAGCCCAAGUUUAAGGCAGCAGGUGGUCCAGUAGGUACAACAGCAGCUCUCCUGUCAAAGUCAGGGCCAGAGGAGAAGACACAGGAAGACUUACUGCGCGAAACUUCUACCUGGAAAGAGUAAACUAUGGUCUGGGAGAGCAGAUGCCCAAGGGAGGGGUCAGGUCUCAUUCCUAAAGUCCCCUCCUUCCACAUCACUCCAUCUAGGUAGCUGCUGAGCCCUUUACACUCACCACUGUACCUAGAGCAAGAAACCAAUGAGAACCUGGCCUCUGGCCAUGGACACAAGGGCCUAGGAUCUUGCUUGGAAAGUGAAUUCCUCAGAACUCUGAGAUGCAGCCAGUUUUGGGAGGAAGAUGAGGCGCUGAGGAGAAACAGUAGGGAUCACUGAGGAAGGCAGCCCUGGCCUCUGGAGGAGGCUCACGUGGCUCUGUGAAGCACACAGGGGCUACCUGUAAAAUGACCCAUGACCACCCUUUCUUCUUCUCUGGAGGCUCUUGACAGAGUGACUGGGUCCCACCUCAGAGAGCUACCGCAGUAUAGUACUGCACAAUGCCCCUUCUUCCCCAGCAACUGACUGGGGGAGAGAAGAACCCUGACCCCCAGGGAUGGACAGUGAAAAGCAAAUCAAGGUGUCUACCAGCCAGGUGAGAGCCGUAUGGCCGAGGUCUGGGGGAACUGGGAUCCCCAUGGGGUAGCUCUUUUUCUAUUAAGAGGAAGUCUUUAGCGUAUUCCUGACUAACACCCACUAUUCUCGGAGAAGAGACACAGCUCCAAAAGGGCAAAGGGACCUUUGCAGGAAAAUGUGUAUGGACAAAAUUGGGGAAAACAUGAGAAAAUGGCCUGGGGAUUUGGCUGAAGUUGAGGUUGGUUGUUCUGGUGGUUGUUUGUGGUCCUGGGGAAAGAUGGAGAACAGGUGAGCAGGUUGUGCUUCUGAGGAGACAGGUAUCAAGGAAGAACGAGGGGGGUGGUAUUCAUCAGCCUGAGGGACAUUUCUUUGUGGAAAUGAACCCUAGAUGGGUAGCGAUGACAGAGGAUGCUCACUGGGCAGCGAGGGUGGCACCCCGCCUCCACAGUGGUGUUAAAAGCUGGCUGGCCCAGGGGAGGAGAGAGGCCUCGUGUACUUUGUCUGCACCCACAGCUGCAGACAGGAAGGCAGGGUGCCCGCCUCUCCCAAGGAAGAGUCAGUUCAGGAGCACAGCAGCCCACGCCCCCGGGGAGGCCCCUGGCUCCUUCUGCUGGGGCCUUCCAAUAGGUGAGCUCCUCUAGUCCCUGGCGGAAAGCGGGUCCUAGAGGAAGGGCAGACUGCCAACUGGUGAGCAGCUGGACUGGAUGUCCCCUGUUGCCACUUGGGACUCCAGUGGCCUCUGAAUCUCUUUCUCAGAGACUGGGCAGCAGCUACCCGGGGCCUUGUUGGGCUCUGGGCUCUCUUGCCAGGAGUUCCUGGGUUGGGAAGGCUGAGAGUUAAGACUUUCUUUUAGGAACUCAGUGGUCAGCUGUAAAAUAUAUAAUGACCCACGACGGCCCCUCUUCUUCUCUUGGGGUUCCUGACAGCUUCUGAGCUGUACAGACCGGAAUACGAGAACCUAGCAGAAAUGGAAGGAGAAGCAACAGAUAAGGUCUUUAGGCCUGAAACGAGGCUGCAGGAGCAGCUUCUGAGCCCCUCUUCCUGGGGGGGUGAGAGCUAAAACGUCAUGGGGAGCCUAUUCAAGAAAGCUCACAGUUUCUAGGGAAGGGGCAGCCCCUUUGGGACUGAUGAGCUCAUCUACAGUUGGCCAAGUUUGCAUUUCUCAGAAGGACCCUUGUGGCCUCUUGUGUUAUUGCCUAUGAGUGGAGACUGGAUCUUGAGCAAAGAAAAUCUUGUAGGCUCUGGAGCAAGGAGAGCCCCCAAAGAUACGUGGGUAGAGGCAGCCAUUUCUGGGAGCUGAGGUGGGCCUGGCUGAGAAAUCCCAGCGUCGGCAUGGUAUAAUCCAGUUAUUUCUGGUUCACCGGAAACCAAGAACUUAGGAGAAAUUGAGUUCAUUUCUAGAAUUUCUGUCCCCAAACCACCGGUUAGGUUUGUUUUUAACCCACUUAGCACAGGAGUUUGACAAUGGCUGUCAGGUAAUGUGUUUGAAAAUCUGGUAUGACAAGACCGUCAUUAUUUUAAAGCUCUAUAAAGUGUCCAAUUGGUUAUUGUUCUAGAUGAGUUUGAGUAUGACUUGUCAAGGUUUCUAAUGUAGCCUUACCUGUAAUGGCAUUAAACCUAUGGAUUCACUUGGGAAGUAAAGUCAUUGCUGUUGGAUCUAGUGUUUUCAAUUAAGAGCAGCCUGCAGAGAAAGGCAGUGGAUGUAGUGGUUAGUAACACAGACCCUGAAGCCUGCUGUCAGGGGGUGGGUCUCUACUUUGCCACUGAGUGUGACCUUGGGCAAACUCCUUAAUCUUUCUAUGCCACAGUUUCCUCAUCUGUAAAAUGGGGAUAAAAAUAAUAUCUUACUCACAGGGUUAUGUGAAGAUUGAAUGAGUUAAUAGAUGUAAAAUAUAUAGAACAGUGCUUGGCACGUACUAAGGACUCAAAUGUUAACUAAUAUUAUUAUCUCUUAUUUUAUUUCAGUUCUUAAAAUAAUGUUUUUCCUUCCUGUGGAUUUUGCAAUGUUUUUUUGGAGGAAAAUCCAGUCCUUCCUUUGCCUGUCUUGACAGCAUGCCCAGGAAACGAGAUGUUUUGUUUUGGGACUGAUGAUUCUGGAAAGAUGUUAGGAAUAGUACAUGGGAAUGGAAUCUUCCAGUAACAUUAGUCUAUACCUAGCGUCAAGCCAUGCGCCCUUUACAACAGUGUGGGCUUGGCAAAUGGUUGAUAAAUAAUUUCAGUACAUUCACCGAAUUAUUUUGGGUUGUUUCUAGGUCCAGACUCCAGGCAAAUGUCAUUGGAAAGUAGCCAGCAUGGAGAUCCCACAGUACCCCUCCCUCUAGUAUUCUGAUAUUCUCUGGAGCUGGGAAGCUGGCAAAAAAAAUAAAUAAAUAAAUAAAUAAUCAAGAUUUUAAAGUUUCAAUGGAUUGUUUUCUGUUUCUUUCUACAUUCUCUCCACAUCCUCUCUGGUGGAAGCCCGCCUGUUUUCCUAGCAUCACUGAAGAAUAUGGCGGCCUCCAUUCCAGCUUGAGGUCUGCCCCUUCCUAGGCAGCCGUGAGCUUUCAGUUGAGACACUUGGCAUCCGUUAAAAGGAGAAUAAUAAAAAACGUCAUAGCCAUCUCACUGGCUAUUUCUUCCAGUUGGUGGGAUAGUGCCUGUAAAAAUGUUUUAAAAACAGAGGAAGUGGCAAAUUGGCCUCCAUGAUAAACAGAACUUGAUGCCACAUUUUCUAAAAGUUAAAAUCUCAAUGAACAGAGCAACCCCUAGUGUUUUAUUUCUCGGGGCAAAUGCUGUGUUGCAUUUACGCAUCUGCAAUGUUUUACCAAGAUCCAAGGGGGGUUGUUAUCUUAAUUAACAGGGAGUCUUUCGUUUAUAUAUAGAACUUUUAAUGUAUUUGGAGCUUUUAAUAGAUUUGCAUCUUGCAACUUAUAGUAUCUCACCCCCUGAAGGAGGUAGGGUGCACAUGGUGGAGCAGCUGAUCCUUAAAUUCCAGCCCCUCCCCAUUCUCCCCUCAACCCUGGGCUGCUGGGUGCUCCUUUGAGUGUAGGAGGUGUCAGAGGUACAGGAAGUACAGCUCCUGGGCCUCUGAUGGCUGCGGGGGAGGAUGACUUUAGGGUCUCAUUCAAAAACUGGCCAUGAGCCCAGCCUGGCACGGGAUCUCUGUCUCUGAGUUAAUGGUGUGGGGGCUCCCAGCAGUGGUUGACCCAAUGGACCAACUCCAUUGUAGGAAAUGUAGGCUCUGCUUCUAUAGUGUCCCAAAUGGGGUGUGGGGUGACAAUGUGGAAGUGACAGUGGUUGAAACAACUCCUACCCUUCAACCCCUAGGGUUGCCUUGGACAGAGGCCAAAGGAAGGAGAUAGGAAUACACAGGGAUUUGUGCUUUGUAUUUUUUUUUUUCAUUGAGAAGGGGGAAUUGUGAGGGAGAAUAAAAAAGGCUGUGGAAAAGGAAGGCUUGUUUGUUUUAAGGGAAAUUAGAGUGGGAUCAGGAAAGACAGUCCUUCCAAAUGAUAUUUAGUUAACACUGGGGCUCUGGGGUGAUAAUGGCUAUUGUUUUUGAGUUCUUAUUAUCUACCUGGCACUGGCUAGGUUCUCCAAUUGGGUAUGGACUUCUCAAGUCACAAACCCCACUGUAGAUGAAAUACCUUCUAUGACUCAAUUUCUAUUCAGGGUUCACAUUUCAUCCAAUAGUAGAAACUUAAUCAAUUCAAGAUAAUUCAGCCAAUCUCAGUUUUCUUAGCAUGCUUGGGAGUUGGCAAAUUUAUUCUUUCCCCAGGGAGUUGCAUCUAAGAUCUGGGGACCUUAACAGACAUUGAGGGGGAGGGGGUGAUUGUGGGAGAGUGGUGGUCUUGAGAGCUAGUCUCCUUGGAUCCUAACCCUGACAAGUUUUGGGGCCUGUGGGACUUCUCCCAGCCACUUGUGUGUGUGUCAUCUCAGCUUCUCUCUCCUGAACCCCCAGGAGGCUGCAGGUCCUCUGGGCCCAUUUCAGCCCUGUGACAGCUUUGCCUUUGGCCGCCUUCCUUUACAGGCGCAUGAGCAAGUUCUUGGGCCUCGCAGCUUGUCUGGGCCCCUCUGAGCCAGCGUGGGCUUCAGAGGCACUCUGCACAGUCCUGCUGUGUUGCUUUCUUCCCAGCCUAGAUGCUGGCCUUUCCCUGGGAACACCUCCCUCUCCGAGGUGCAGGUGUGGAAGUAGGAACAGGGAUGCUCGAGCAAGUCUUCCUCCAAACCCACUUUUAUGCCAGGACUUGGCCUUCCAAUCCUCUCCAAAGACACUGGCUGGUUUCUCUUUGCAUCUCGGCUAGAACAACCUGGCCCUGAAGGCAGGGAGUGGAUGCUGCCCGGACCAAGAGGAGGAGCAGUUAAGACACACGGGCACAUGUUUUAAAGUCUUGUGAUGCCUGCUUGUUCUCUCUGCUUCAACUAUUCUGAAGUAUUUGCUGCAUCCCCAUUCUGUGACUACAAGGCUGAGACACAUCCGGAGGGAUGUUUUUGGUCCCCUAUCAUGAGGUGGGAAGUGGCAGAGGUGGGGUCCAGAGUUAGGAUCUUUUCACUCCAGCUCCCAGUCUGUCCUCUCUACCAAGCCCUGAUCUCUAAAAUGAAAGCCCUCAUCAGCGUGUUCUGUUUCAGGGGCAACAUCGCUCUGCCUUGAGCCUUUCCUCAUUCUUCAGAGCAUUAUUUACAAUAGCCAAGAUAUGGAAGCAAGCAAGGUGUCCAUGGAUAGAUGACUGGAUAAAGAAGAUGUGGUACAUAUACACGAUGGAAUAUUACUCCGCCAUGAAAAAUAACGAAAUCUUGCCAUUUGAAACAACAUGGAUGGACCUAGAGGGUAUUAUGCUAAGUGAAAUAAGUCAGACAGAGAAAGACCAAUACCAUAUGGUUGCACUUAUAUGUGGGAUCUAAAAAAUAAAAGACAUAAACAAGACAAAACAGAAACUCAUAAAUACAAAGAACCUCCUGGUGGUUGCCAGAGGGAAGAAGGUGGGUGAUGGGCAAAACAGGUGAAGGAGAUUAAGAGGCACAAACUUCCAGUUAUAAAAUAAAUACGUCAUGGGGAUGUAAUGUACAGCAAAGGGAAUAUAGUCAAUAAUACUGUAAUUACUUUGUGUGGUGACAGAUGGUAACUAGACUUAUCAUGGUCAUCACUUUAUAACAUACAUAAAUGUCGAAUCAGUAUGUUGUGCACGUGAAACUAGUAUAAUAUUGUAUGUCAAGUAUGCUUCAAUAAAAAAAAGUAGAGCCAGCCACCAUGGCCUAGCGGUUAAAUUCAGUUCCCAGGCAUGGACAUACACCACUCAUCUGUCAAUGGCCAUGCUGUGGUGGUGGCUCACAUAGAAAAAAAGGAAGGAUUGGUAGCAGAUGUUAGCUCAGGGCAAAUCUUCCGAGCAAAAAAAAAAAAAAAAUGGUAAAUUUAAUGAGUACGUUUUAAGAAAAGCAAUUCUCCAGAUUUCUGUAAGAAUUUUCUUAACACGCCUCAAAGGAUCCAGAAGUCCCAGAAGUCCUCAGUCUGCAUCCUCUGAUUAGACUCGCUCUUCCUGAAGCAGCAGUGCUCAAGUUCAUAAAUGAUUUCCUACCCAGUUCUGUUGUGUUGUGAUUUAGUUACUACCUUCCAUGAUUAUUUCCUACUCUUCAAAUGCAUUGUUAUAUUAUUAGUUUCAUAGGUUUCUGUGGGCUAAACUUGGAACCUUACCACAACCGAUUGCAUUAUUUCUUUAGAAGUGUGUUUCGAGUUCCUUAUCCAAUGUCUAGAUGUCUUUUUAGGACUCAUUCUUUUCAGCGGGAAACUUCUUAUGUUUUGAUAUUAAAUUUAGGCAAAUUUUCUCUCUGGCAAACAAUUUGAGAAAAAUGUGGUAUCUUUAUUAUUUUAGCCUAAGAGUUUAGCUCCUGCAAUAGUAUGUACUACUCAAAAAUGCAGGCACGAAGUUUAUAGAGCAGGGAGGAUUAUUAAGAAAAACAGACUAAGAGAAAUGGACAUCUUUCCCCAUCCUCAUCCCAGGAAAGAGAGGCUGGCGCCAUUGGGUUUCUUUAUUAAUGUUUAUUUCCCUUUCCUAAGAUUUCUCUCCGUUAGUGAUUAUUUGCAUGUGUAUCAUAAGGAAGGCCAAAGGGAUUGAAUGAACCUGUGUCCCUUAGUGGCAGAUAGAAUAAAUCAACUUUCAGCAAGUGGUCAGGUCAAGCUGCAGGCCCUUGGGUCUCUAAGGCCCCUGAGAGGAUGAUAGCUGAUGUCUAAGGGGUCAGUCAUCUUCAAGCCCAAGAAGGGCUUCAAGAAGGGUUGAUGAAUUGGCACAACCCAAAGACGGUUUUCAUUUUCUUCCAAGACUGGGAAAGAUGAGUGGGGCUACAUGGCAAGACCAGUGCCCCAUUGGUUGGGCACCAGUGUUUGGCCACAUAUCUGGAAAAUCCAGGCUAGCAUGGAAUUUCACAGACUUCUCCAAAAUUCCAGGGGCACUGAGUAUACUUGAUGGAUAUUUGCACUCACGACGCACCACCCUUAUGCCCUAGAAUCCGUUGGGCUGUUUCAGUGCAUCCUUCCCAGCCCUCCUGAGGCUUUGGUGUGCCUGGGAAUUUACAUUCCCCCUCCCAGCCCAGGAUCUGACCCCUCACCUUUUUUUUUCCACACUAACCAGGGGUUUAAUAGAAAUACAACCAGAACAGAAAAACUCAAAUCAUACAUAAAUCCAAACCAGAAUGCCAAGUGAUCAACACAAAGAGCAGAAUUUUUGACUCUUCAACUCAGUCAGCCCCCAAAUAAAAACCAACAAAGAUAGUGGAUCAAGAGAAUAGAGACAAAGAGUCACGUGAAGCUACAGGAGGAGAGUUGGGGAUGUUAUGUGUGUGUCACAGGGAACAGUCAAAGAAGACCCCAUGGUCAGGGCAGACCAUGGGCCAGGAUGGCCUAGCCGAUAGUGAGAGCCCACCUCCUUUGCCUGCCAAAUGGACAGCUCUGAGGAGGACUUCUACUCCAGAAUUGCCCUGUAGAAGGCAGCUGAAAGUCACCCUCUGGGGGUUUAGUCUGAAAUUGUACCCCUGACUGCCAUCCUCCCAGUUUUUGCCCUGCUUGCCCCGUUCUCUUGUGGUUUUCUCCUGGGAGCUCUUCCUUAGUCCAAUGUUGGGACACAAAUCUUUGUCUUACGGUCUGCUUCUGGGAAACCCUACCUAAGUCAGUGGUUCUUUCUGAAUGUGAGCCACAGUGGAGGGCAUGCUAGUGGUUAGGUCCUGCCUGUCUACUAGUCAACAUGUAGAGUGUUCUUUAAGCAGGACAAUCUUUUGCGAAAAGCCUCCCACCCAGAGACAUUAGUAGUUUCCCUCAUGGGCAUGGAAUUGGGUGGCCAGGACCUAGAACAAAGGCAGGUCCCUAGAUGAGCCCUAAAUAAACAUUGUUCCUGGUGGCCAUGGACUGGCCUCCAUCCUAGGCAAAGGAACCAGGCGAUAGGCAAGGUGAACGUGUAAAUAAUAAAGAGCUAUUGAAGGACCAAAUCCUAGGGUAAAAGCUAACAAAAGGAGUGACAGAGAUGGAGAGACUAAUAAUGGCGUACUUAUUAGAGAUGCUUCCUUGGGGAGCAGUGGUAGCUGUUGUGUCUCCAAAUCAGAAAGUUAUACCGCCAGCACCAUUCUACUCACUAUUGCUGUGUAACAAACCCCUCCCAAACUUAGUGGCUUAGAAUAACAGCAAUCAUUUAUUUUGCUUAUAAGUCUGCAAUUUGGGCAGGGCUCAAUGGGGACUGCUUAUCUCUGCUCCACGUGCUGGUGGCUUAGGUGGCUCAACUGGGGCUGGAAGGCUCACUUCUAGGAUGGCUCGUUCACGUGGCUGGCAAGUUGGUGUUGGAUUUCAGCUCCUUUCACAUGGAUCUUUUCACAGAGAAGAUUGAACUUCCUCACAGUAUGACAUCUAGCUUCCAAGAGCAACUGCCCUAAGAAUCAGGGAGUGGAAAUUGAUGGUUUAAGAUGUUAGCCUGGAAACUGGCACAGCGUCACUACUGCUGUAUUUUGUUGGUCAGUCACAGAGCCCAGAUUCAAGUGGAAGGGUCAACGACCCCAUCUAUCAAUGAAAGGAAUAUCAAUACAUUUUGCAGCCGUGUUUUUAAACUGCCACAAGCAUCUUCCAUCAAAUUGAGGCAGCUGGAAACCUGCGAGUCAUCUUUGCUGCCUCCAUUUCCUUUAUCCCUACGUUUAAUGCACCACUAAGACCUGUUUUUUAUUGUGGUAAAAUACACAUAACAUAAAAUUCACCAAUUUAUUUUUAAUUUUUAAAAAUUUUUAAAUUUUUGGUGAGGAAGAUUCACCCUGAGCUAACACCUGUGCCAAUUUUCCUCUGUUUUGUAUGUGGGAUGCCUCCACAGCAUGGCUGAUGAGUGGAGUAGGUCUGUGUCUGAGAUCUGAACCUGAGAACCCAGGCAACCAAGGAGGAGUUGGGAAAACUUCAACCACUCAGCCACGGGGCUGGCUCCAAAUUCACCAUUUUGAUAAUUUUAAAGUAUACAAUUCAGUGGCAUUUAGUACAUUUAUGACUUAAAUGUAAACCUUCACCAAUAUCUAGAUUCAGAGCAUUUCCAUCAUUCCAAAAAGAAACUCUGGAGCCAGCCCUGAUGGCCUAGUGGUGAAAGUUCAGCACACUCUCCUUCAGCAGCCCAGGUUCACUUCCUGGGUGCAGAACCACACCUCCCCGUCUGUCCAUUGCCAUGCUGUGGCAGUGGCUCACGCGGAAGAACUAGAAAGACUUACAACUAGAAUAUACAACUAUGUACUGGCGUUUGGGGAGGAAAAAUAGAGACAGAGAGAGAGAGGAAGAUUGGCAACAGAUGUUAGCUCAGAUCUAAUCUUUAAAAAAAAACACAACUCUGUAUCCAUUUGUUACUCCAUUCCUCCUACCCCCCAGCCCCUGGCCAUGACAAAUCUGCUUUCUAUCUCUGUGGAUUUGCCAAUGCUGGAUAUUUCAUAUGCUGGAAUCAUACAAUAUGCGGCCUUUGUGUUUGGCUUCUUCCACUUAGCAUAAUAUUUUCAAGGUUUAUCCAUGUUAUAACAUGUAUCAGUAUUUCAUUUCUUUGUAUUGCUGAGUAAUAUUCCAUCAUAUGGAUAUACCACAUUUUGUUUAUCCAUUUAUCAGUUGAUGACAUUUGAGUUGUUCCCACUUUUGGCUAUUGUGAGUAGUGCUGCUAUGAAUAUUUGUAUAUAAGUUUUUGUUUGAACACCUGAUUUCAAUUCCUUUGGGUAUAUAUCUAGGAGUAGAAUUGCUGCAUCAUAUGGUAAUUCCACGUUUAACUUAUUGAGGAACUCCCAUACUGUUUUCCAUAGUGGCUGCAUCAUUUCAACUUACCACCAACAAUGUAUGAGGGCUCCAAUUUUUCCACAUUCUCACCAAGACUUGUUAUUUUCUAUCGUGAGUGUAAAGUGGUAACUUGUGGUUUUGGUUUGCAUUUCCCUAACGACUAAUGAUGCUGAGCAUCUUUUCAUGCUUGGUCUGUUGGUCAUUUGUAUUUCUUCUUUGGAGAAAUGUCUGUUCAAGCCUUUGGACAUUUUUUAAUUGGGUUGUCUUUUUGUUGUUGACUUGUAAGAGUUUCUUGUAUAUUCUGGACACUAGACACUUCCCAGAUAUAUAAUUAAAAAUAUUUUUCUCCCAGUCUGUCAGUUGUCUUUUUUACUGUCUUUAUAGAGUUCUUUGGUAAAUAAAAGUUUUAAAUUUUGAUGAAGUCUAAUUUACUUUUUCUUUUGUUGCUGCUUUUGGUAUUUCUGAAAAUCCAUUGCCAAUUUUUUUUUAUUUUUUUGAGGAAGAUUAGCACUGAGCUAACGUCUGCUGCCAAUCCUUCUCUUUUUGCUGAGGAAUACUGGCUCUGAGCUAACAUUCAUGCCCAUCUUCCUCCACUUUAUAUGUGGGAUGCCUGCCACAGCAUGGCUUGAUAAGCGAUGUGUAGGUCUGCACUCAGGAUUAGAACCUGUUAAACCCAGGCUGCUGAAGCCAAACGUGCGAACUUAAGUCCUGUGCUACUGGGCUGGCCCCUCCAUUGCCAAAUUUAAGGUCAUGAAGACUUACUACUGUUUUCUUCUAACAGUUUUAUAAUUUUAGCCUUUAUAUUUAGGUCUUUGAUCUUUUUUGAGUCAAUUUUUGUAUAUGAUGUGAGGUAAGAGUCUGACUUCAUUCUUUCGUAUGUGGAUAUCCAGUUGUCCCAGGACCGUUUGUUGAAAAGAUGAUUCUUUCCUCAUUAAGUGGUCUUGGUACCCUUGUCAAAAGUCAAUUGCCCAUAGAUGGAUGGGUUUAUUUCUGGACUUUUAAUUCUAUUCCAUCGAUCCAUAUGCCUAUCCUUAUGCCAGUACCACACUAUUUUGAUUACUCUUAGCAUUGUAUUAACUUUUGAGAUUGGGAAGUGUGUAUUUUCCAAUAUUGUUCUUUUUGAAGAUUAUUUUGGCCAUUUGGGGUCCCUUAUAAUUUCACAUGAAUUUUGGGAUUGGCUUUUCCAUUUUGGCAAAAAAGACCACUGAGAAUUUGAUAGAGAUUGUGUUGACUCUGUGGAACGUCAGGGAGUAUUGUGAUGUUAACAAUAUUAAGUCUUCCAAUAAAUGAACACAGGAUGUCUGUCCAUUUGUUUAGGCCUUUAAUUUCUCUGAGCAAUGUUUUGUAGGAUUCAGUGUACAAUUCUUGUAUCUCCUUUGUUAAAUUUAUUCCUAAGUAUUUUAUCCUUUAGAUGCUAUUGUAACUGGAAUUGUUCUCUUAAUUUUCUUUUCAGAUUGUUUAUUGCUAGUGUAGAGAAAUACAACAGAUUUCUGUAUGUUGAUCUUGUAUCCUGUAACUUUGCUGAACUCAUUUGUUAGCUCCAAUAGUUUUUCAUCGAUUUUAUCUUAAAAAGAUUUAAUCUGGGGCCAGCCCGGUGGUGCAGCAGUUAAGUUCGCACGUUCCACUUCGGCAGCCCGGGGUUUGCCAAUUCGGAUCCCGGGUGUGGACAUGGCACCAUUUGACACGCCAUGCUGUGGUAGGCAGCCCACAUAUAAAGUAGAGGAAGAUGGGCACGGAUGUUAGCUCAGGGCCAGUCUUCCUCAGCAAAAAGAGGAGGACUGGCAGGUUAGCUCAGGGCUAAUCUUGCUCAAAAAAAAAAAAAGAUUUAAUCUUAUAUAGAUUUUCUCUAUAUUAGAUCAUGUUGUCUGUUAUCUGCAAGUAGAGAGAGUUUUACUUCUUCCUUUCCAAUCUGAGUGCCUUUUAUCUCUUUUUCUUGCCUUAUUGGACUGUCUAGAACUUACAGUACAGUGAUAAACGGAAGUGGAAAACGUGUUCAUCAUUAUCUUGUUCCUGAUUGAGAGGAAAGCUUUCAGUCUUUCACCAUUGAGUUUGUUAGCUGUGGGUUUUUCACAAAUAUGUUUGAUCACGUUGAGGAAAUUGCCUUUUUUCCUAGUUUGUUGAGUGUUUUUAUCACAAAAGGGUGUUCAAUUUAGUCAAAAAUUUUUUCUGUAUCAAUUGAAAUGAUCAUAUGAUAUUUUCUUUCAUUUUAUUAACGUGGUGCAUUAUAUUAGUUGAUUUUUAUAUGUUGAACUACCCUUGACAUCCUGGAGUAAAUCCUACUUGGUCUUGGUGGAUAGCCAUCUUAAUGUGCUGCUGCAUUCAGUUUGCUAGUAUUUUGUUAAGAAUUUUUGCAUCUGUAUCCACAAGGGCUAUUGGUCUGGGUUUUCUUUUGAUGGGUUUGGCUUUGGUACCAUGGUAAUGUUGGCCUUGUAGAAUGUUAGGAAGUAUUCUCUCCUCUUAAGUUUUUGGGAAGAUUUUGAGAAAGAUUGGUGUUAAUUCUUUUUUAAAGUUGGUUUGGUUGAAUUCAUCAGUGAAACCAUUUGAUCCUGGGCUUUUGUUGUUAUUGGGAAGUUUUUAAGUGUUGAUCCAAUCUCUUUACUGGUUAUAGGUCUGUUCAGAUUUUCUAUAUCUUCUUGAGUCAGUUUUGAUAGUUUGUGUGUUUUUAGGAAUUUCAUUUCAAUUCAUCUAGAUUAUCUAAUUUGUUGCUGUACAAUUUUUUAUAGUAGUCUUUUAUAAUCCUUUAUACUUGUGUAAUGUCCCCACUUUCAUUUAAGUUUUAGUAAUUUGAGUCUUCCUUCUGUUUUUCCUGGUCAGUCUAGCUAUAAGUUUAAUUUUGUUGAUAUUUUCAAAGAAUCAACUUUUGUUUUCAUUGAUUCUCUCUAUUGUUUUCCUAUUCUCUAUUUCAUUUAUCUCCACUCUAAUGUUUAUUAUUUCCUCCUUCUGCUAGUUUUUGGUUUAUCUGCUCUUCUUUUUUUUAGUUCCUGAACAUGUAAAGUUAGGUUGUUGAUUUGAGAUCUUAUUUUUUAAUGUAGGCAUUUACAGUUAUAAAUUUCCCUCUGAGAGCUCCUUUUUCUGCAUCCCAUAAGUUUUGGGAUCUUGUGUUUUAAUAUUCUUUUGUCUCAAAGGAUUUGCUAAGUCUCCUUGUGAUUUCUUCUUUGACCCAUUGAUUGUUUAAGAGUGUGUUGUUUAAUUUCUGCAUUUUUGUGAAUUUUCCAGCUUUCCUUCUGUUAUUGAUUUCUAGUUUCACUGCAUUAUUGCCUGAGAAGAUACUUUGUGGGUAAUUUCAACCUUUUAAAAUUUACUGAAACUUGUUUUGUGGCCUGACAUACGAUCUAUCCUUGUGAAUCUUCCAGGAACACUUGAAAAGAAUAUAUAUUAUGCUAUUGUCGAGGAGAGUGUUUUGUAUGUGUCAGUUAAGUCAUGUUGGCUUAUGAUGUUUUUCAAGUGCUCUCUUCCUUAUUGAUCUUCUGUCCAGUUGUUCUAGUCAUUGUGAAAGUGAGUGUAGUGAAAUCUCCAACUAUUAUUAUAGAAUUGUAUAUUUCUCUCUUCAAUUCUGUCAGUUUUUCUCUUGAAAUAUUUUGGGGCUCUGUUGUAGAUGUAUAUAUGUUUAUAAUUGUUAUGUCUUUUUGAUGGAUUGUAUCUUCAUCAUUAUAAAAUGUUCUCCCUUGUCUGAAGUAAAAAUUUUUGCCUUAAAAUCUAUUUUGCCUUAUUAGUAUAGCCACUGCAGCUCUCUUUUGGUUACUAUUUGCAUGGAUUAUCUUUUUUCCAUUCUUUCACUUUCAAUUUCCCUAUGUGUUUGGAUCUAAAAAGAGUCUCUUGUAGACAGCAUAUAGUUGGAUCAUUUAAAAAAUCCAUUUGGCCAAUCUCUGCCUUUUAAUUGAAAAGUAUAUUAGACAGCGUACUCCAGAGAAACAGAACCAACAGUAUAUAUAUAGUGGAGGCUUGGAAAGUCCAAAAUCUGAUGAAGUAGGCUGGUGGGCUGGAGACUCAGAAAAGAGUUGCCGUUUGAGUCCAAAGUCAGUCUGUUGGCAGAAUUCCUUCUUGGUCAGGUUCGAUCAGUCUUUGUUCUAUCAAGGCCUUUAAGUGAUUGGAUGAGGCCAACUCACACUAUGGAAGGUCAUCUGCUUUACUCAAAGUCCCCUGAUUUAAAUGUUAAACUCAUCCAAAAAAAUACGUUCACAGAAACAUCCAGAAUCGUCUUUGACCAACUAUGUGGGUACUGUGGCCCAGCCAAGUUGACACAUAAAAUGGACCAUCAGAAGUCCACUCCUUGUCAACUUGGCACUCAUACACAGCUCCUUAAAGAAUACUUAAUCUCCAAAUAAAGACAAUAACAAGGUCACACUUCUGCCUAACAUGAUAUAACUAUCCUGCGUACAACCCAAGACAUACUAACACUUUCCUCAGAAGAGAAUGGAAAAGUCCUUGGGUGAUGUUUACUCUUCUUGAUAUCCUGUAACUUAAAUCCUAUGAUAUAAAGUCAAUGCAUCUUGUAUUACAUGAUAAAGGGAUAAGAGAAGGAAGAAGGGCCAGCUCCGGGGCCGAGUGGUUAAAUUCACGCACUCCACUUUGGUGGGCCAGGGUUUCAUGGGUUUGGAUCCUGGGCACGGACAUGGCACCGCUCAUCAGGCCAUGCUGAGGCAGCGUCCCAGGUAGCAAAACCAGAGGCACUCACAACUAGAAUAUACAACUAUGUACUGGGGGGCUGUGGGGAGAAGAGGAAGAAAGAG
RNAcentral lists this long non-coding RNA (27245 nucleotides) under Equus caballus (horse). RNAcentral describes it as "lncRNA (ENSECAG00000051738.1)". The record is from RNAcentral. Lineage: Eukaryota; Metazoa; Chordata; Mammalia; Perissodactyla; Equidae.